RNAcentral lists this ribosomal RNA (253 nucleotides) under uncultured bacterium. Its description in RNAcentral is "partial 16S ribosomal RNA". It matches the Rfam family "Bacterial small subunit ribosomal RNA", at positions 524 to 776 of the family's 1533-position model. The record is from RNAcentral.
UACGUAGGGUGCGAGCGUUGUCCGGAAUUAUUGGGCGUAAAGAGCUCGUAGGCGGUCCAUCGCGUCGGGAGUGAAAAGCUGGGGCUUAACCCCAGUCCUGCUUCCGAUACGGGUGGACUAGAGGUAGGUAGGGGAGAACGGAAUUCCUGGUGUAGCGGUGAAAUGCGCAGAUAUCAGGAGGAACACCGGUGGCGAAGGCGGUUCUCUGGGCCUUACCUGACGCUGAGGAGCGAAAGCGUGGGGAGCGAACAGG